Molecule: long non-coding RNA, 189 nt
Organism: Symphalangus syndactylus (siamang)
Lineage: Eukaryota; Metazoa; Chordata; Mammalia; Primates; Hylobatidae
Source: RefSeq, a predicted model, not a curated record
GGAACCUGUGAUUCAGGAUCACACUAGUCCCCAGGCCUCAAACUCCUGACCUCAGGUGAUCCACCCGCUUCAGCCUCCCAAAGUGCUGGGAUUACAGGUUUCUGUCCUGAGACCACAGCAGAAUGUGCCUUGGACAAAGAGUCUCGCUCUGUCUCCCAGGCUGGAGUGCAGUGGCACAAUCUUGGCUCA